This 169-nucleotide unclassified non-coding RNA is filed under the name uncultured Lecanoromycetes. RNAcentral's name for it is "sequence contains ITS1". The record is from RNAcentral. Lineage: Eukaryota; Fungi; Ascomycota; Lecanoromycetes.
UCGAGUGAGGGCCUCCGGGUCCGACCUCCAACCCUUUGAUUUAACCAACUCUUGUUGCCUCGGGGGCGACCCGGUCGCGUCGGCCUCUGCCCGACGUCGGCGUCGGGACCCCCGACGGACCCCGUCACAACUCUGCAUCUUUGCGUCGGGUUGAUCAGAAAAUCAAUUA